GCCUAUGGCCAUACCACCCUGAACACGCCUGAUCUCGUCUGAUCUCGGAAGCUAAGCAGGGUCGGGCCUGGUUAGUACUUGGAUGGGAGACCGCCUUGGAAUACCAGGUGUUGUAGGCU
RNAcentral lists this ribosomal RNA (119 nucleotides) under Pelobates cultripes (western spadefoot toad). The record is from RNAcentral. Lineage: Eukaryota; Metazoa; Chordata; Amphibia; Anura; Pelobatidae.